GUCGGGGGAGCCCCACCUUAAGAGGGACGUGAUUGGCUGUACCUACAGAUCCAGUUUAUAGAUGAUUAAAUCAUCAAUCAGGGCUGCGGGAGCGCGCGUUCGUGCGAUCGCUCGAGCCCAUGUUUCCGUUAAAAGCCAAUCAGAUCGGAGCGGAGCGCGCGCACAGCCGGGGAAAGGCUUUGUAGCACGUGGAAUUAGGAAAGAGAGACACAGCGCGUGAGGAGUCAUCCAGACAUGUGAUUUUGCACGGUGAUCUUGUGCUCCAUGUGCGCGCACUGCCGCUGCUGCCACGCUGACGCCGCGCGUGCUCUCGUGCACCACUUAUCGGUGCAUUCAUCCUGAAUGCGCCGUCACCCCUCGCGCUGCUUCGCUCUGAAUAUUACAUACAGCGUGAAAUCGGCUCCGAGUCCGCGGCCAACCUGUGCAGCAACCUCCGGGUUAAUGCAUCAGCUAAUUUCAUUGGGAAAACAGGACGCCCCCUCAUCUCUCUGAGCUGUGAGCGGUGAGAAAGUUCCAGAAGAUCUCACAUCUGCAGCGGGGAUGGAGCUGAGCACACAGGUGGUAGGGAGAGAGAGAGAGAGAGUUAUUUCCUGUCUGUGAGAACAUCCUUUGAGUGGUUUCUCUCCUCUUUCUGUCAUACACCCCCAUAGAACACACCCUCUCUCUCUCUCUCUCUCUCUCUCUCUCUCUCUCUCUCUCUCUCUCUCUCUCUCUCUUUCUCUCUCUCCCUCUCUUAUAUACACACACAGACAAACACACACACAUAGUUCAUAGUCUGACUCAUCUGAACUCCUCCUUCCAGGUGUUUAUGACUCUCACAUUAUUGUUAUCAGACGUUUAAAUCUGAACUGAAAUCAGUGCUGAUCUGCUGCUCAAUACGGCAUGAAGAUAAAUUUCCUGCACGCCUUCAAAACGUGUCAUUUUAACUAACUUAAUGUGAAUAUAGUACAUACAGCAGCUUCAGACCCCAACACCAUUAUUAUUAUUAUUAUUAUUAUUAUUAUUAGUAGUAGUAGUAGUAGUAGUAGUAGUAGUAGUAGUAGUAGUAGUAGUAGUAAAAGGUCUGCAAAAAUAAAUAAUUAUUAAUGUGUUUUUUAAGUUUCUGAUGUGUUUGAUGUAAAAGAGUAUAGAAAGUCAAAAUGGAACAAAACCGACGAGAGAAUAAAGAAAAAAAUAAUUAAAAAGAAUUAAAAGUCUUUCAUAAUAAUAAUAAUAAUAAUAAUAAUAAUAAUAAUAAAAAAUCCAAGUCAAGUUUGGUGUUAAUUAUAAAAGAAAGGAAAUAAAAAUUCAGAAAGAUGUUUGGUAUUAAUGUUUAAAUAUACAAAUAAAAAUGAGCAAAAUAAAAUUACAAAAAAAUAAAUAAAUAAGUAAAUAAAUCUGACUACCGUCAAAAAAAAAGUCCCCCAAACAUAUUUGUGAUUCAAAAAUAAAUAAAUAAAUAAAUAAACGUUUCUAAUAUAUAAACAUGACUUGUUUUAAUUAAUUAACUGUAAAUGAGCAAAAUGUAGACCCAAAUAUGGUAAAAUGGGGGAAGGGGGGAAGGAGGGGGAUAAGUACCCAAAACAAUAAUUGUAGUUAAACAAAAAUAUUAGGUGAAAAAAAAAUAUUUUUUUUUUAUUAUUAUUAUUAUUAUUAUUAUUAUUAUUAUUAUUAUUAUUUUAAUUUGAGUUUUUAGUUUUUAAGUUUAGAUUUUAGUUUUCUUUUAAUUAAUGGAAUACAUGGAAAAUUAGUCUUGUAAACAAAGAAUAAUACAUCAAACCCAAAGCAUGUUUGCUGUUAAAGUUUUUCAGAUUGUGUGUGUGUGUGUGUAUGUGUGUGUGUGUGUGUGUGAAAUGUAAAUAUCUAAGCAAUAAUUAUGUAAAUCAGUGUAGUAUUGUGUGUUAAACCCACAGAUAGUAAAAGCAGUAAGGACUAAUCCCAUGGGAUGAGUUGAACGCUUUCAGAUUCCCUUCGUUUUUUUGUUUCCUCACAGCGUGGGCAGCUAAUGUGAGGUAUCAUUACAUAGCGGCUGGUCCACAACAUCACGAGGACUAUAAGUGCCAAUUCCAUCUGCAUAAUUAUCACCUGUGCGUGCGCAUUUACAUCACCGGGUACAAGCCAGAACGCAGCCGGGCCUCGUUCACGGCUCCAAGACGCCCGGCGUCGCGUGUGUAGUAACGCCUGAUACAUUAAAGAAUCACUGAUGUCAUAAAUGACACACUGGAUCAUUGUAAUGAGGAGAUCCAUGAGGAGGUUUCUGGGUGACCGUGUGUGUGUGUGUGUGUGUGUGUGUGUGUACUGAGUCUCAGCACGGAAUGUGCUAUUCUCACCACAACCAAGUCUGUCAUAUUUAGCUUGCCAGGAUUUGUGCACUCACCCACACACACACACACAAACACACAGCAAAUGGAAAACAAAAAAAAAGUGACGCACAAUUACAGAACGCGGCACACGUGUGAUCUCGAAGAGUGUGUGCAUUCUGAAGGCUCUCUCAAAAACGUUUUACGCUCCACAUACUCAGCUUCUGCCACGCCCAAGAAAUGUAAACCACGCCAGACGUUGGUCGGUUUACAGCGAGCUGAGAGAGAGAGUGAGUCGCUACAUUCAGUACACACACACACACACACACACACAAACAUACAACUCUAGCUAUUGUAUCAGGUCGCUAAUGGAGGAAGGACUGACUUGUUAUUGGAAGGAAGCGACAGUACUUUCUCUCUCUCUCUCUUUUUUCUCCUUAAAGAGGUCAAGUCUCCAGCGAUGCAAAAGAACCACAAGGUUUUUUUUUGUUUGCUUCUUAAUAUUUUGAUGUUCCAGGUCUCUGAAGCAAAUCCACAAAAGCACAAAACACACCCAAUUAAUUCUGACAGAUUCUCUCUCUCUCUCUCUCUCUCUCUCUCUCUCUCUCUCUCUCUCUCUGUGCAUAUCGCUCUUUCUGUGUGUGUUUGUGUGUGUGUGUGUGCACGUGCGCCCACGAUCACAAAAAGGUAAGCUCUGGAAAAAAAAUGAAGAUGACUUAUCGCAUUUUGAAAUUAAUUUCGAUGAAUAAUUAAUCAAGCACUGGAAUAAUUGUUGUCUCUCUAAUCUUCACACACACAUACACACACACAUACACACACACACACAUACACACACACACACACACACACAUGAAAAUUAAUUCAUUUAUUAUUUUUGUCAUUUAUUUUAUUUUUUUCAUUUAUUUUAAUAUUUUACUUUUUAGAUGGAAAAAAAGAAAAGUAAUUUUAAAAAAUGACAAAAAAACCUGC
Tachysurus vachellii is the source of this 3248-nucleotide long non-coding RNA. RefSeq lists it as uncharacterized. The record is from RefSeq and is a predicted model, not a curated record. The transcript has 3 exons. Lineage: Eukaryota; Metazoa; Chordata; Actinopteri; Siluriformes; Bagridae.